CGUACACUCCUGCGGGAGGCAGCAGUGGGGAAUUUUGGACAAUGGGCGAAAGCCUGAUCCAGCCAUGCCGCGUGCAGGAUGAAGGCCUUCGGGUUGUAAACUGCUUUUGUACGGAACGAAACGGCCUUUUCUAAUAAAGAGGGCUAAUGACGGUACCGUAAGAAUAAGCACCGGCUAACUACGUGCCAGCAGCCGCGGUAAUACGUAGGGUGCAAGCGUUAAUCGGAAUUACUGGGCGUAAAGCGUGCGCAGGCGGUUAUGUAAGACAGUUGUGAAAUCCCCGGGCUCAACCUGGGAACUGCAUCUGUGACUGCAUAGCUAGAGUACGGUAGAGGGGGAUGGAAUUCCGCGUGUAGCAGUGAAAUGCGUAGAUAUGCGGAGGAACACCGAUGGCGAAGGCAAUCCCCUGGACCUGUACUGACGCUCAUGCACGAAAGCGUGGGGAGCAAACAGGAUUAGAAACCCGGGUAGUCCCA
Molecule: ribosomal RNA, 476 nt
Filed under: uncultured organism
Description: partial 16S ribosomal RNA
Rfam family: Bacterial small subunit ribosomal RNA
Source: RNAcentral